This 482-nucleotide ribosomal RNA is filed under the name uncultured bacterium. RNAcentral describes it as "partial 16S ribosomal RNA". It matches the Rfam family "Bacterial small subunit ribosomal RNA", at positions 28 to 523 of the family's 1533-position model. The record is from RNAcentral.
GACGAACGCUGGCGGCGUGCUUAACACAUGCAAGUCGAACGGUGAAGUAGAGCUUGCUCUAUGGAUCAGUGGCGAACGGGUGAGUAACACGUGGGCAACCUGCCCCAGACUCUGGGAUAACUCCUCGAAAGAGGGGCUAAUACCGGAUAUUUGCAUUGCAAGACAUCUUGUGAUGCAGAAAGCAUUUCGGUCUGGGAUGGGCCCGCGGCCUAUCAGCUUGUUGGUGAGGUAACGGCUCACCAAGGCGACGACGGGUAGCCGGCCUGAGAGGGCGACCGGCCACACUGGGACUGAGACACGGCCCAGACUCCUACGGGAGGCAGCAGUGGGGAAUAUUGGGCAAUGGGCGCAAGCCUGACCCAGCAACGCCGCGUGAGGGAUGAAGGUCCUCGGAUUGUAAACCUCUUUCAGCAGGGACGAAGCGAAAGUGACGGUACCUGCAGAAGAAGCACCGGCUAACUACGUGCCAGCCGCCGCGGUAA